Molecule: long non-coding RNA, 5029 nt
Filed under: Panax ginseng (ginseng)
Lineage: Eukaryota; Viridiplantae; Streptophyta; Magnoliopsida; Apiales; Araliaceae
Description: long non-coding RNA (PGIN_LNC006172)
Source: RNAcentral
AUAUUAGAGAAAAUAAGGAUAAGAAGGAAAGAGAAAAGGGGAAAGAGAAAAAGAAGAAAGAGAGAACGGGAGAAAGAGGGAGAGAAAGGGAAGGGGCAAAAUCCCUAGGGAAGGAAAGAAGGAGGAGAAAUUCUCCAUGAAGAAGAAGAAGAAGAAGAACAAAGGUAUAAUUUCUCUAAUUUCUUUUUGUAAUUUGUUAGAAGGGGGUUUUGAUUUGGAAGUGCAAACCCCUAUAAUCUAUGUGUUUUUCAUGGAUUCAAGUAUGGAUUUACCCAUAUUGGGUAUUGAUUUGGUUGGAAUAAAAAGGAAAGAAAAAUAAAAUUUUCUAGUUUUGAAAAUCAUAACUUUUAGGUGCUUUGAAUAUCCACCGUUUUUUGAUCUAUGCAUUCUUUUCUCGAUCCGUCGAAGAGAGGUUCUAGAUAUAAGUGUUGAUUGGUAAACCCAAGUGGUAGAACUCAAAAAUCACGUUUCUAAAAGUCGUGGUGUUAAUUUUGGUGAAAACAGUCCCGUUUUCUUAAAACUGUUUUGGAUCAGUCUGAAACGGGGGUAAUUUCACCCACUUUUUGUGCUUUAAAAAGUAUGGAAAAAUUUGGAGUAUUAAUAUCAGAAGAUAUGAAGGUUGUGUAAAAAUUUGAGAAUUUUUGGUCAUACGGUUUGAGAGUUAUGGAGUUUACGGUGAAGGGCUAUUUUUAUGAAGCCACCCGAAUAACUCUCUGUGUAUAAGUCCAAAAAUUACAAAAUAUUUACUAGAAGAACAUGUGCAUAACAGGAACGUACUGUAAAAAUUUCAGAAUUUUUGGAGUUAAUCUCGAUUUAUAAAAAAUCCGAGAAUAUUUGGCUAUUAUGGACUAUUUAAAUAUAGUAAAUGGAUUUUAAAAAUUCCAAGAAAAAUAUAUGUUCAAUAUGGAACUAUAUUCUGUCAAAUCACAGAAAAAAAUUAUUUUUGGGACUGUUUUGAUAUUUUUCAUCUAAAUGAUGAUAAAUAGAUAAAUGGAUUUAAGUAAAUAUAUGAUGUCCAACAAUAUGAAAAAUAUGAUUUAUGACUUGAGACCCUUGAGCAUGGCUUAUACAGAUUUUUGAUAAAGUUUUGGGUCGGGUUUGAGGUGUUAUGAAGUUUAUGGCAUUUUAGAAUGCUUAAACAAGUUAAUUAAUAAAAGGAAAACAAUUGAAAACAAUUGUUUAUUAAUGUGAUUAAUGACUUAAAUUAUUCUUAUAUGAUUAAUAAUAUUGGAUUAUGAUAUUAUUAGUAGUAUUUGACUGAAAUGUUAUUAAAAGGUUAAUAACCUUAGCGUAAAAUAUUAUUACAUAAUUAAUAAUAUUUGAUGGGAGAUUAAAAUAAGAGAUUUAUGUUAUUUUUCAAUAUAAUUGUUGAAUUUGGUAUUCAAUGAACUAUGAUAUGCUUGUAAUAGAAUAAUGAGAAUUCAGGGUGCUGAAUUGGAUUUUGGAUUGCUGAAAUGGUUUCAGUCUACUAAAAUAUUUUUUGGUCUGCUGAAAUAGUAAUUUCAGGAUGCUGAAAUGUAAUUUGGUUUACUGAAAUGAUAUUUCAGUUUACUGAAAGGUUAUCUAGCUUACGAAGAUAACAGAUAAAGGGAAAACUUAUAAGUAUAAGUUAUAAGUGAGGAAAAGAUUAUCAAAGUAUAAUGAAAAUACUAAGACUAAGGUGUAAUGUCCAAUACUUAACUUUGUGAUUGAAGGUUAGACAAGUUAAUAUAAGAUGAUGAGAUUAUAAGUAAGUAAUGAAUAUGGUGCUAAGAUUAUCUAAUAUUUGACUAUGUGAUUAAGUGUUAGAUAGUAUUAUGGAAUAAGGUAUGAUAUGCUAAUUAAAAGAUAAAUCGUAUACCUGAUAGGUCUUUUCAAUAAAGAGAAUAAAUUAAAUUGCGUAGCGGUAAUCGACUAUGCAGGCAAGUUUCCUUAACUCAAACUUGAGUUGUAUGUUCAAUGCAUGUUAAUGAAUAAUUGUUGUUGAUUAUUCACGUCUAUACUCAUUAUUGAUUCGCACUUAGUGCAUGUUGCAUAUGUUCAUCAAGUAUGAAAGGUUGAUCACCUUCAUUACCAUAAGGUUUAGUUAAAUUGUUCAUGGUCAUUGUUGACCGUCAAACAUUAUUGAUUUAGUCGUGCAAUUAUUGAAACUUGAUUCAUGUUAUUUCAAAAUUAUUAUAUUGUUUAAAAAUUGAAAGCUUAUUCAUUCUUUUCAAUCAUGAUAUAUCUCCAUUGUAUUUAAAACUUGUUAGGCAAAUUUGUUGUUCACCCUUGCUAUAUCAUGAUAAAAUUUUCAGAUUAAGAUGAAAGCUUUAAUAAGGACAGAGGCAAAGGUAAAGUGCAAGAUUAAAUUAUGGUGUAGUUAGAUCUAUUAAAUUUUCUGAUGAAAAUAGCAUUGUAAACCUUUUUAGAUAUUGAAGGUAUGUAUUUAGUUAAGGUUGUAGACCUUAGGAAUGAUGUGUAAAAGUUUAAUAUAUAAAACAUUUAUGUUUAUAUCUUCCGCAAUAGUUAUAGAAAUGAUGUACCAGAUCUGAGGUAAAAAGUACCCAGAUUUGGGGACGUCACAGUAAAUGGCUAAAUAAAAAUUAUAAUUAAAUUGUUAAGGUUUAAUUUAAUUUCUUAAGAAACAUAAUUUAAUCCAAUUUAAAACAUCAAAAUUGGUUUAAUGGAUAAAUAAUUUGGGAAGAAUGUGGCUAAAUAAUUUAGCAAUAAGAAUUAAGUGUGACAUAUGUAUCAUAUAAUAGGGAAAUAAUAAAAUAAAAUAAAAAUAAACCAAGGGAGUUUAAUUGAGUUUAACCAAACAAGGCUUAGACUCUUUAUUUUUUUAACUGUUGAAACCUCUUAUUUACUAGUAACUGAUAACCCAAUUGAAAAACACGUUAAACCCAUUCUUCAGUUAUUCUCUACGCUCAUUUGCAAAGGCUGAAAAAAAGAGAAAUUGAGAGAGUGAGUUCUCGAUCUAUGAAGUUAGAGAGGAAGUCUGAGAAAUCAAAGAAGAGGAUGGAGAUUAAUCAAGCAAUAUAUAUCAUAUAUCUAGUUUAAGAAGGAUUCAAGAGGUAAUAAUCCAACUCUUGAACUCUUCGUUCUUAUUUUCUCAAUGUAAUAAUGCUGAAAAUUGGUUUGGGGGUACGAUUUGAUGAUGUUAUGUAUCAUCUAUAACUGAUUUUGAAGUAAUCAAAUUCGUGUUUAAGUGUAAAAGAAGAAGAAUUAGACUUUUGAUUUUAUUAUAUAUCUUAUGGACUGUUUUAGAGGCAAAAUUGGUUAUGAAUCCAUGUUUUAAGUUGUAAAUUGAUGGUUCAUUAUUGUAAUACUCUGAAAUAUGAAAACAAUGCAACUUGAAUGAAUUAAAAUGGUUGUAAAAUAAAUUCGUUGUGUAUGAUUUUGUAUAAAAUGUCAAAAUAGCAUGAACAUGAAAUUUAAAUCUUUAAUUUAGUUGUUGAAUGUUUUUGAGAUGUGGAAAUUGUUUUGUAAAUGUGUUCUGUUGUGUUUAAUGAGUUUAUAGCAUCUGAGAGUAGCUAAUUUAGUUCUAAAUUGAUAGAGAUAGUAAUUUUGGUUCGUAGUAGAGUCUGUGUAGCGAACUGCAGAAGCUAAGUCUGUACCACAACGCCGCCGUGCUAGUGCCCAGUACAAAAGUAGCGCGGUCGCGCCUGAAGCAGAACAGACCCAGUAAUGAACAGUUAAGUGUGCAGUUCGGAGGAAGUUAACUUAAUCUAUUCUAAUGAUUUUAGUGAAGGCUAAAACAUGUAAUACGACCUAAUAUCAGAUUGUAAUCACAAAGAUGAUGCUAUAAGUUAUGAACUAAGAAUUUAUGAAAGCCUUUAAUUCGAUGUCCGUGAGAAGUGGAGAUAUCUUUCAAACUCUAUUUCUUAUACUAUAUCCUAAUAGAGAGUUUAGAUUCAUGAUGUAUGAAUAACUAGGAUAUUCAGACCUUGAAUUAAGAUAAUAAAGUUAACUAAAGUAGGAACUAACCCAAUAAGGUUAGUUUUAACUAAUUGUUAUUGUGAUCUUAAUGAUCUAUGUUGGAUAUUUGAAGAGCAUGAAUUGUAAGUUUGUAACGAACGCACAAGGAAACUUUCCUAACCUUUGCUACUUUAAUAUUCAACGAUAUUUAUUAAUUUGUUCAAUAUCUAUGAUUCUUAAAUAAGCUUUUUAAUUCUUUCCGAAAGCAGUAUUUUAAUAGAUAAUGUUUAUUCAAUUAUGAAUCAUUGUUACUCUAUCAUUACUUAUGUACCAUUAUACGAGAUUAUAUUGUUAUCAAAUUCUUGAAUGGCUAUUGAACCCUUUUGAUUCAACUAGUCCCUAGUUGAUGAAUGUUCUAAAGAUCUAAAAUUUCUUUGAAGUUAUUCCAAACCAACUUGUCUAAGGUGUGGAUCCUAAUGUUAAAGCUGAGAUGAAAAACCCUAUAUUAGGGGUAUAAGUUAUCGAAAACUAUAAUUUUAAGCUACGUAAUAGGGAUAAUAUGUUUGUGCACAAUACAUAUUACAAAGGGUUGAUCACCUGGAGUACGAGAUGGAUGGUCCAUAGUCUCUAAACUGUUAAAGGUUAUAGUAGAAAUACUUGAUAACUUGGGACAUAGUUCGUGGUCUUGUGACCCUCAGUGGAUGCCUUUGAUCUUGAUGUCUAAGAUUUGUUUAAAAGUCUAUUAUUCCAUUGAACUCACAAUUCUUGAUUUAAAGUUGAUUGUUUCCAGUAAAGAGUAUAUUAUUGAGUGGAAACUUAUUCGUUUGUUCAUUAAUAUAUUGUUAUUGUAUAUUGUUCUAUUUUUGGGCAAAUUGUUUUUUCUCACUCUUAGAUAAAAAAUUUCAGCUAAGGUCAAAAAACCUGAGUAUCCGUUUACGAGCAAGGGCAAGGGCAAGGGCAAGAUGUAUAAGUAGUUGAUGUUUAGGCUAUCUUUUAUUUGAGAAUCUUAUGUAAUGAACUUAUUUAUGUUUAUGUUUUUUUCAUUGUUAAGAUGUAAUAAAUUAAGGUUAGAUAACGUGUAAUUUCGUUUGAAUAUGUAACCUUUUAUAAGGAUUAUUAUUUAUGAAGUUUGUUAUCCUAUAUUGUGGGU